Molecule: non-coding RNA, 10143 nt
Organism: Nothobranchius furzeri (turquoise killifish)
Lineage: Eukaryota; Metazoa; Chordata; Actinopteri; Cyprinodontiformes; Nothobranchiidae
Source: RefSeq, a predicted model, not a curated record
GUGAAAAUAUAUAUCUCUCAUAUAAGCUCUUUCAUAUAUUAUUAUAAGCUCUUUUAUAUGAACAAAUAUGUAUCUCUCACUUAUGCUCCUUAUAUAUUAUCAUAAAUACAUUAUUAUAUGCCUUUUCAUGGAAUCUUGUUAUAAUAUCAAAGACCUCUCUGUGCCUUUUCUGCUCAAGCUGAACAGCUGCAUAAGGGAGUGAAAGCGUUCCUUCCUUCAGUUCCUCAAUACAAGAACAACUGUCUUUGUUAGCAAAGGAUGUUGCAGGAUGUGUCCUGAUCAUCUCAAGGUUGCAUGUCCUUGGGAUGAAUUGGUCUUUCAUUAACAAGGCUAUUAGCUGACGUGCGUCUGCAGGUGCAGAUGGCAGAAUUACGUGUGUGUAUGGCAAACUACGUAUGUAACAUUCCUGUAAUCUUCAAUAAAAAUCAGCCGUUUUCAGCAGAACGGCGAGAGUCUGUCCGAAGCAUCUGGCAAGAGCAGGUCGCGGGACUUGCUGCAGAGACUCUCCCCCUCAUGAGCGGCGAAACAGUGAAUGGACUUCUGAUCAUUUGUCUCCUCGUUCUGUCAACUUAAAAGGUGUUUAACUCCAUCUACUCCGUACCCGUGCUUGGUCUAACGGAAGAGAGACCAACAAAUUUGGCGUCACGAACAGGAUUUUUUCUUUUUGAAGAAAAAGGAGUUUUUGGAGGACAAUUUGACCAACCGACCCAGUGAACGAUCUUGGCACAGAACACCGCGGUGGAAAACAAGGUGAGCAGAGCCUAUUAUCUAAAAUCUGCUCAUUGGAUUUAUCCAAAGCCUUUGUGUCCAGAAUCAUAGUAGCUGAGGUCCUAAAAUAAUAGUUGGAGAAGAAAGUGGAGACAAGUGCAGAAAGAAUAAGAGAUUUUUUUUGUAAUGGUUUAAUGGUGAAAUGAAAUGAGGAUUUUUCUAAUGGUUUAAUGAGUAAAUGAGAAAAGGAAAUAGUACAGAAAUAGGGGUUGGAGGCCCAGAGCAUUAAUAAGCUCUAAAUUCCAUUUAAAGAAGGGUUGGAGGCCCAGAGCAUUAAUAAGCUCUAAAUUCCAUUUAAAGAAGGGUUGGAGGCCCAGGACAAGGUCCUAAAUUCCAUUUCCAGGUCGUGGCUGACCACACUAUUUGCUGACGAGCGGAUAGAAUAUAUAACAAGGUUAUAUAAAGCUUGGCUGGAUCCAUAGGUGUGGGAACCCUAAAAGUCCACAGGUCAAGGACCUGGUUUUUUUGUGUUAAGGGAAGGGGAGGCUAAAAGAGAGCUCCCUGGAUUUUAAGGUCGAGGACCUUUUGCAUGAGAUGAGAAAAAUGUUCUGAGGUAACUGUUUUUGCAUAAGAUGAUAAAUGUUUUGACUGCUUCUGUGUGAAGAGAGCAGUGCUUUUGGCUAUUUCUGCGUGCUUUUGGCUGUUUUUGCAUAAAAUGAGCAAUGUUUAAAUAUGACAAGCAGCCCAGUUGAAGCCACGAGAAAUAAGGUUUUAUUGAGAAAGUCAGCGGAAGAGGCGAUGAAGAAAAAAGGGGUAGAUGUUAACAGUAGAGGUAACUGGAGAAAGAUUUGGGAAGUGAAGGCUGCAGAAUCAAGAGAAAAAAGGCACAGCUGUAGACAAGCUUCACUGUGUGUGUAAGCUGAGUUCAGCCUGUGUGUGUGAGGCGCAGCAAGAGGCUGCUUACGGCUCUGGAUUGAAAGUGCAGCACUAGGAGAGUGCAGAAUGCAGAGCAGAGUUUUGGGAGCUCCGUGUGUGUGUGUAUGUGAGUGUACAGCGCUGGGUGUGUGUGUGAAGGCCUGAUGCGGUACCAGAAAAUAAAUAAAUAAGCUAAAUAAGAGCUUUAAAAAGUUGCAACUCGUAUAUGUAAAUUACACUGCAGUGCUAAAAAUUAAUGUUUGGAGCUACGCAAAAUUCAAAUUCUGCAACCCUGUUCUGAUCAGUCUUUGAACAGAACACCAUAAGUUAAUAAAUAAAAGGUUUUUAAAGUAACAUAUGCAUAUGUAUGUGUGUAUGUAUGUAUAUGUGUAUACAUAUAUACAUAUGUAGUGUAGAAGCGUGAUAAUCAUUGGUGUGUGGGGCAGCAUGUGAGUGACCCCGAUCUGGGGGUUAAGUGACCUGGAGAUGAAAAAAGGGAAAAAACCACCAAGAAACGCAAGUAAGGAUGUAAAUGACAGCUUUAUUUUAGAAAUAUAGUCAUAUAGCUGCUAAACAGUAAAAUCAAAACAGAUCUGCAGAAAAUAAAUAUAUAAACUAUUCCUCAGAGCGCUCUCAAAAAAAUUGCAAUUGGAUUUGCUCUAAUGUUACAUAAGGCCUGCUUAAAAGCAUAGUAAGCAUUAAAUUCUGAAAAUAACCAGUGCAGUGUUAAAUAAAUUCUGUGCUUAAAAUAUUAUAUAUAUAUAGAGAGAGAAUAAAUAAGUGACGAACUGACUUACCUUAAAAAAAUAAUAAUAAUAAUAAAAAGAGACUGUGACAAACAAAGAAUGUCUCUGUGCCUUGUGAAUGAGUGAAUGUGUGUCUUCUUGCAUGAGCUGCUUUCGCUGGAUCUUCUGAAUGACGCAGUUUUUAAUAGAGGGAGCAGCUGCUUGAGAAACAGGGUGCGGUCCAUGUUUUUACUAGACGGUUAUUUAGUUCGAGAGACUGUGGAAACAAUAGAAAAAGAAUUUAUCGUUAGUGUGAGGACAAGAAAAUCCUUUAAAAUACAAAAGUUGUAUGGUCGUGGUUAUAAAGGAAGUAUUUUGUCUGAUUAUGGGCCGUGGAGUCAGCUGGACUCCCUCGCUCUCACAGUUUUUCUGUGUAACAUGCAGUUUUAAGCAAUUUGUGACUUUAGAAAGGAUAUUUUUCGGUGUUUUGGACGUACCUUAAGGCUUCUGGUUAGGGUAUUCAGGAGAUCCUUCCUCUCGGACAGAUUUAGUGAGAAUGACUGGAGUUUCAGCCUGGGGACCUGACUCCACCCACUUUUACACACAGGAGUCCCGCAGUCUAAAAAUAGCACAGGGCGCUGCGAAAAGCAGCUCUGAACCUCUCAGGAUCAUCUUUAUGAAAACCAUAAAAUUAACAAAUAAUCAGUCAGGAAAUAAAAUAUUUGUUAAAUCUUGCUAUAAAACAAAAUCCAAUAAUUGUCUUGCCUCAACUUUAAGAACCAUUAACGUUAAUGGCUGGAUUUUGGGACGCUGAAUAAUGAAAAAACAGAUAAACUAAGUAUUAUUUCCUGUAACCUGGCUAGAAACUGUACUAGGCUGUUUUGAGUUAAAAACUGGUAGUUAUUUUCCCAAAAUAAAAUAGAUAAAUAAAAAAUGAAAGGAGGGAUCUUGCAUUUGGGAUAGAUUGUGCCUAAAGUUUAAAACCUGUGUAGAACCGAUUUGACGAUUCAGAAAAAUUGUGCAUAGGAAGUAGUCUAGAUUUACCUUUGAGUCAAUAAAGUCGACUAAAUAUUAGAAACCAUCGUUGAUUUUGAUUUGUAAAAGAGAAAGUUCUGUCAUUUUAACUCAAUCAACAUAUUUAAGGAAAACGUUUACUGUGCAUUGUGGCAGGCAUGAACUUUACUGGGUGGGCCUGUCACAACCAGCUGCAAAGAAUGUUUGGCUCUGACUUCUAUACAAAGAGAACCUGGAAGCCCUCACCAAAGAGAACCUGGAAGCCCUCACCAAAAGCUGUGACUCAUAACAUAAAGACGGGGAGCACUACAAGAUGGACAAAGAGGCAGAAACUUAUUUGCCCUGCUGCUGAUGAAACAAAGUACAAAAGGGGGAGCAUGUGUGCUAACAUGUGAACUUCAAUCAAUGACGGUGGUCAUCCUGGACUUACAAAGAGAGGCUCAAAAGAGACUGUUUCCUAUGGUUACACCCAGUAAAAGAGUGCUUGCUGCAGUCAGGUAAUGAACAAGGCUUUUUGGCAACAACCAGUUGAAUUGAUGAAAUGUCAGAACUGUGGAAAAUUUACUAAACUACUGUAGAACAUAGUUAACUGAGAAAGUUAGCCUAAAAAAAGAUAAUAAUAAUAUCAAUAAAUAAAUAAAUAAUAGGAUUAGUAACCUGGAUUUCAGCCCAACUCACCAUUGGACGUCAAUAUAAUCUUUAUUGUCCUAGGAUUCUCAGCUGCAGCGGACAUGCAGUAAAGCCUUAUUUUCUUUUCAAAACGGAAUACAUCAGCGUCAUCACUUAUUUUCAUUGGUUAAGGAAACGGUGUCUAUUUAUAAGUCUAGGAGAACGCUUUAGGCUUCAACAGUUCUCUCCUUCGAGCAAACAUGCGCAAAUUUCCGGAUAGUUUAUAGUAACGUUCCAUCCCAUUCCAUUCAUUGCAUAAAAAUAAACAUUAAAUGAAUAAUUUGGCAUCCAGCUGACUAAAUGAUUCAUGGAACAUCUCAUCCGAGACGACAGUGUUGUUUCAGCUCCGUUGAGUUUCCCAACAGAUCUAGCCAAACCUAGCUGAUCCUAUAUUUUUCUAUCAGCUGUAAGUUCUAACGUAGAAAAUAAUGUCACAAAAAUAUUGAAUAAUUGUACCCCUCAUUCGAUAAAAAUUAUGUUCACAUUUUUAUCUUGUGAAAUCUUUAACAUAAUAUUUUUGAAUGGCCUUUUUGACGACAAUUGGCUAAAAAAUCUUUAAGAUUAUCAUCACAGGAUGGCAUGAUAAAUAAGUAAAUAACAUAAAUAAAUAAAUAGAAAAAAAUAAGAGAGAAAAAGCAAAAUUAAUUAAAUGAAACGUAAUAGUGAUAAAAAGUUAAAGUGAUCUAAAAUCUGUCAUUCAGUGCCACUGGAAAAAGGAAGAGGAUAGGGGAGUAUCUCUUAGCACAAAUCACGUUAUUGAUUUAGCAAUGCAGCUUAAUUUCAGAUGCUUUAAGGAUGAUACUAACUUGUGUUAUAGAUGAAGGAGUAGCACAGAAACACUUCUAGAUGAGGAGAUAAGGAAAAAAAACUGCUGAUUACCAAUACUAUGCACAAACAAACCUGUAACUGCAGUUUCGUUAUUUAUGAAUUAACCUUAAGUAGUGAAUUAAUUCUUAGGAUUUCUUGUGCGAGUAGUGUUCCUAAAAAAGAAAGAAAGAAAGAAAGAAAGAAGGUAAGAAAGACAGGUAGUUUAGGUAAGGGACAACCUGAAACUUUUUGGUUGAAUUGAUAGUAAAGUGAUUGUCCUAAUUUCUAAUUGGAGAGAUCACAUCGCAACGUGAGUUUAGAACAGCAGUUAUGGGAAGUUUUGUUGGAUUAAUUUGAUUACACGCUUUAGGUCUUAUUUUUUCUUUCCACUGAUUUAGCGUUAGGUUAAGUGUUUUCACACUUUCGCUUCAGUCUGACAUUUGCUUGGUGUGUGAGGGCACAGAGACGUGUAUGGACCGUGUGUUUGACUGUGUUUGUCUUGUUUGUUUGUUUAUUUAUCUAUAUGGGCGUGGCUGAGCCUUGAGAAACAUCAACAAAGCCAUUGGGCUAUUCUGAGUAAAUUGACCAAUUCAACUUCAGGAUCCUGAAACAAUUUGGCUAUAACCUCUAAUUGAUGAAGGGCAUCUUAAGAAUUCAUUAUACAAGGCUUCCUCUCCAGUGUUGCCGGAACUGUUAUAAAACCCAUGCAUGGUUGUAUAUUUUAGUUUGAUCAUUUAUACUCAUUGAAUUAUUGUUGUUUGCUUUGUGUUUUAAUUUCUUUGUAAUUUUUCUCUGUGACACAGGUGGAGAUGCUGGUGGCAAAAUGGAUCCCACACAUUUCUUUCUCCCACACACAUUCUUACUCUCUCCCUCUCUCUCUCUGUGUAUGUGCAUGUGUAUGUGUUUGUGUGUCUGUGUGUCCAUGUCGUGAUGUCACUGUACCUUUAAUUGCGCUUGCUGUUCGUAACUGUAUGUGUCUGAUGUUGAAGGUAUCAGAGGCUAGGGUCAGUAAGAGCUAGGACAUUUUUGUGCAUAACCUCUAAUCCCUAGGCGAUCGGUCCGGGGAACUUCUGGUCCGGCCGGAGUGUGAGCCUUCCUACCAACUAUCUGCCGAGAUCAAGGACUGCACAAGUCGAGAAAGCCUUCAUUGGACCAAAACUACACACACGAAGAGGCUUCGCCUUCGGUGCCAGGCGUCUGGGUCCUGCUAAAAGUCACCAAAAGGAAGUGGACGGAACCGAGGUGGACCGGGCCAUACAGGAUCACGGAGAGGACAUCACACGCUGUCCGGCUGGACGGGAGGAGCCUAACCUGGAAGAGAAGCAGCUGACAUCUGCCUAACCAGAGAAAGGAUCCAAAAACCAGGAAGAGAAGUAGCUGACUGCAGUAGCAUGCCAAGCUGCCACCACAUCCUGCAGGACGAGAAUCUUGAUAUCAUCACCCCCUGCAGCUGCCUGGAGCCAGUGAAGGGUCCUCAACAGGGGGAAGAAGUAACCACCCUAUGAACAUUCUACAAGGGUUCUAUUUAACACCCUCAUUUAUUUUACAAGGGUAAUAUUUUACACCCUCCACCUGCUGACCCAAUUAUCCAGAUGCCCUUGUUACUAGCCAAUCCUAAAAUCUAUUUGGGAGGGGAACCCUCUGAUGAAAGUGAUGACUCUCAUGAUGAAGAAGAUGUUGUUAGAGUGUGAGAAUAUUGAGUGAUUUCUGUAACAAUCCCUUAAACUGUUUAUUUCUAUGAGUUUUUUGAUUGUGUUGUUUUUAUUUCUUUUGAUCAUUGAUGUCCUAGGCAUGCACACUCUAUGCCAACAGGUGUUCGCCCCAAAAUUGAGAUAUGACAAAUGGGGGGACAUGGGGGAAUUUUCCCUAUAAACAUAUGAUAAUUAGGGUUUUUCGCCCUCAUAUGGAGUUGCAUGCGAUCCUUACAUGUUGUAACAUGUUCAGUUAAAAAUAUGAUCAUGUUUUUUUUUUGUAUUAGUUUACUGCUGGAAAUAUGAGAAGCUGUAACCUGAUUGAUUGUUUGUAUUUGUAUUUUAAAACUUUGCUUAUUGGAUUCUUUUUGAUGGAAUUUGGUGUUAUUGUUUUGAUUUCUUAUAUCUUUAUUGAACUCUUAAAAGAGUUCAAAAGGGGGAUUGAAAAUAUAUAUCUCUCAUAUAAGCUCUUUCAUAUAUUAUUAUAAGCUCUUUUAUAUGAACAAAUAUGUAUCUCUCACUUAUGCUCCUUAUAUAUUAUCAUAAAUACAUUAUUAUAUGCCUUUUCAUGGAAUCUUGUUAUAAUAUCAAAGACCUCUCUGUGCCUUUUCUGCUCAAGCUGAACAGCUGCAUAAGGGAGUGAAAGCGUUCCUUCCUUCAGUUCCUCAAUACAAGAACAACUGUCUUUGUUAGCAAAGGAUGUUGCAGGAUGUGUCCUGAUCAUCUCAAGGUUGCAUGUCCUUGGGAUGAAUUGGUCUUUCAUUAACAAGGCUAUUAGCUGACGUGCGUCUGCAGGUGCAGAUGGCAGAAUUACGUGUGUGUAUGGCAAACUACGUAUGUAACAUUCCUGUAAUCUUCAAUAAAAAUCAGCCGUUUUCAGCAGAACGGCGAGAGUCUGUCCGAAGCAUCUGGCAAGAGCAGGUCGCGGGACUUGCUGCAGAGACUCUCCCCCUCAUGAGCGGCGAAACAGUGAAUGGACUUCUGAUCAUUUGUCUCCUCGUUCUGUCAACUUAAAAGGUGUUUAACUCCAUCUACUCCGUACCCGUGCUUGGUCUAACGGAAGAGAGACCAACAGCAGGUAAACUUUUUAUUCGCCGAACCGAGGCUAGAACGCUCUCACCUUUUAGAUGUUUUGGUACGAGUAGCUGCUAUGUUGGACGCCGCCAUUUCUGUUAGUUGAUGCUCAGCAGAGAUGCUAUUGCGCAUGUGCCACUCUGGGCAGAGAUUGUAAUGAAGUGAGAUGCCUCACUCGGUCGGAAAAAACAUGUCUGACGACAACGUCGACAAUGAAAUUAAUUGUCGACAAUUUCUAUUGUCGAUAUUUGCUGACAACGUCGACGAAUCGUUGCAGCCCUAUAACAUAUGUAACAUACAUACAUCAGGGUUCCCCCAGAAAAUGGGUGAAUAUUACCUGCAUUAUUUGCAAAGCAGUCCUUGCGUAUCACGGCAGCACCUCGGUGAUGCAUGAACACUUAACGAGAAAGCACGUUGGACAGUUGGAAUGAAACAGUCUGACUCACCUCGGUAAGAUUUAAAUAACAAGAAAGCCAACACGUUUAGUGUUGGAGGUACAUAUUUUUAAACAUAUUUUUGCUUUUUAAAAAAAAUAGAGAUUUAAUGUUAUGCCUGACUAUGCCUGAAAAAAGUAUUUUAAUUUUAUUUAUGCAUUAUGUCUAUACUAGCUGAGCACUGUGCCUAAUUGGUAUUUUUAUUUACGUUUAAAAUGAAUUGGCCUAUCAGCAGCAAAGUUCAGUAACAUAUGCAUUUUCCAUUGAAGUACCCAUCUUUGUUGUGUUAUCAUUUUUCACAUAAUGAAAGCAUGCUAAAUUUAAGAAAAAAAUUAAUAAUUAUCCGAUAGUCGACUAAUCGUUUCAAUAGUCGGUGACUGGUCGACGACUAUUAAAAUAGUCAUUAGUUGCAGCCCUAGUAUAUUUACAGUGCAUAUAUCAUCAUCAUUAAAUUGUGUAAUUAAAAUAAUUAGAAAGGUUACCUCAUUCAGUGAGUCCAGCAUUGGUCUUAUUUUGGUCCCUGCAGUCCCGCCCUUCUUCUGAAACAUUGCCAGGAGUUUUGGAGUAAACCUGUCCAAACUGGACAAAAAGGUUUGCUCCAGAUGCACCGUGGUCAGUCUUUUAAACUCUUCUUUGAUCUGAAAUGAGAAAUAAAAACACAAAAUCAUGUUUAUGAUGACUCAUGAGAUCUCACACUGCAUGAACAAUAACUGGAUUUACCUGAUUUUCACUGAACAGAGAAGGCCAUCUCUCCAUGAGGUCUUUGAUUGCAGGACAAUCCUUGACAACCUCAGUUCUUCGGCCGCUCGGUCGUACUUCUCCCGCUACGUUUUCCCCCUGAUUUUAAUAGAAGUUUGUCUUUUAGGAACAAAUGAGAAAACCAGGGACUUAUUAAGCUUAGGGCAGAGAUGGACCACAUGUUCACUGGAACAAAGUGUUUGGCGGCUGUGACAUGGAGACUAUUCUGGAGAAAAUGGGCAUCCAGGGGAAGGUGACAGCGAUGAACAGCUCCUGGAGCUGAUCAGGGAGGACAUGAGGCUGCAGAGGGAGGCAGAGCAGCAGAGGGCACAGGAGAGAAGGAAGAACUUUGCCAGGCUUGCUAGAAAAAAUGGUUAAGAAAGAUUAAACAUGUACAUAUAAAAGAAAUAUCUAAAUAAAAUCAGUUCUGUAUUAAAAUCUUGGAUUUUAUUUUUGUUUACAAAUGAGAAUUGUUUACUAGAGGGUAUCCGCUGGGUCUUGAAACGUCUUAAAAGGUGAUAAAUCGGUUUUGGUCAAAUUAAGACCCUUAGAAAGUAUUAAAAACUAUUAUCACAUCUUUGCUCAGGCUCAGCUUGUCGAAAGUAUUUUCUCUGAAUUAGCUCUCCAGCAGUCAAGGAAAUGAUUAAAAAUCUAAAAACUUCGAGCUCCAUCAUUUGAAGUUCCUUCUCCCUUCUGCUCAGCGGGUCCACUGUUGCUAGGCGAUGGAACGUUCACCGAGGGAGUGGCGGGAAUUCAUGAAGGCUAGGCCUGUCCAAAUUCACAGCCGUUAACAUCUGGUCUACUCGGCCGACGUGGGCUGGGUCCUUCGAAGGAUGCAGACACAGCGUAUGUUUCUGACUAUAACAUGAAUAAAAUGGAGCUGUGGAGAGCAGUUUUUUAUUUAUUCAAAUUAAUGGUUAUUACAGUGGUGUAAAACUGCAGCAAUGAUAUGAAAUUAGACCGUGGUCAUUUUAUUGUGUUAAACUCAAGUCCAUUGGAACAGUUUCAACAACAGAACAAGUCAAAUAACUUCCAACUUCAGUGAAAUGUAAUGGGUGGCGCAAAGUUAACAGACACCAGUGCACCGGCAGCUUGCAACUUUUUCUGUAAAAUGCGUUUAUAAUUAUUAAAUGCACUCACUCCAGCAAGUAUAAUCUUUACCAAGUCUGGCUUUGAUAAAACGCGAACUUUAAUUAAUGGGGCCUUUCCAGGCGAAAAGGACACGUGUCAGCCAAGUUAGUUAGCUUAGCUAGCUAGCUAGCUAGCAGGAAAAAGUACCAUUUGCUACCGCAGCUGCUGCUGCUUUCAGUGAGAAGUCAGUGAGCCAACGAGGACGUAUAGUUUGAUUAACUUAAAACUUACCGUCUU